Buceros rhinoceros silvestris is the source of this 81-nucleotide non-coding RNA. The record is from Rfam. Lineage: Eukaryota; Metazoa; Chordata; Aves; Bucerotiformes; Bucerotidae.
CUGUGGCCCGGUUCAAGUAAUCCAGGAUAGGCUGUAUCCGCUCCAGCUGGCCUAUUCUUGGUUACUUGCACUGGGAGGCAG